This 254-nucleotide ribosomal RNA is filed under the name uncultured bacterium. RNAcentral's name for it is "partial 16S ribosomal RNA". It matches the Rfam family "Bacterial small subunit ribosomal RNA", at positions 524 to 776 of the family's 1533-position model. The record is from RNAcentral.
CACGUAGGGUGCGAGCGUUGUCCGGAAUUAUUGGGCGUAAAGAGCUCGUAGGCGGUGUGUCGCGUCGGCCGUGAAAACCUGCAGCUUAACUGUGGGCUUGCGGUCGAUACGGGCAUCACUGGAGUUCGGCAGGGGAGACUGGAAUUCCUGGUGUAGCGGUGAAAUGCGCAGAUAUCAGGAGGAACAUCGGUGGCGAAGGCGGGUCUCUGGGCCGAUACUGACGCUGAGGAGCGAAAGCGUGGGGAGCGAACAGG